Molecule: ribosomal RNA, 616 nt
Filed under: uncultured Legionella sp.
Lineage: Bacteria; Pseudomonadati; Pseudomonadota; Gammaproteobacteria; Legionellales; Legionellaceae
Description: bacterial SSU rRNA
Rfam family: Bacterial small subunit ribosomal RNA
Source: RNAcentral
UAGCUAGUUGGUGGGGUAAAGGCCUACCAAGGCGACGAUCGGUAGCUGGUCUGAGAGGAUGACCAGCCACACUGGAACUGAGACACGGUCCAGACUCCUACGGGAGGCAGCAGUGGGGAAUAUUGGACAAUGGGGGGAACCCUGAUCCAGCAAUGCCGCGUGUGUGAAGAAGGCCUGAGGGUUGUAAAGCACUUUCAGUAGGGAGGAGGGUAUUUAGGUUAAGAGCUAGAAUACUGGACGUUACCUACAGAAGAAGCACCGGCUAACUCCGUGCCAGCAGCCGCGGUAAUACGGAGGGUGCGAGCGUUAAUCGGAAUUACUGGGCGUAAAGGGUGCGUAGGUGGUUAAAUAAGUUAUCUGUGAAAUUCCUGGGCUCAACCUAGGGAGGUCAGAUAAUACUGUAUAACUCGAGUAUAGUAGAGGGUAGUGGAAUUUCCGGUGUAGCGGUGAAAUGCGUAGAGAUCGGAAGGAACACCAGUGGCGAAGGCGGCUACCUGGUCUAAUACUGACACUGAGGCACGAAAGCGUGGAGAGCAAACAGGAUUAGAUACCCUGGUAGUCCACGCUGUAAACGAUGUCAACUAGCUGUUGGUUAUAUAAAAAUAAUUAGUGGCGC